RNAcentral lists this ribosomal RNA (1684 nucleotides) under Chagunius baileyi. RNAcentral's name for it is "16S rRNA". It matches the Rfam family "Bacterial large subunit ribosomal RNA". Lineage: Eukaryota; Metazoa; Chordata; Actinopteri; Cypriniformes; Cyprinidae. The record is from RNAcentral.
ACUAAACAGCUAGCUUACUCUACUGAAUAAAUGAACCAUAUAAACAAAAUAAAAUAAAACUAACAUCAAGAACCAAAUCAUUUUUAAGUUCAAGUACGGGAGACGGAAAAGACUACCUGCAAGCGAUAGAAAAAGUACCGUGAGGGAAAGCUGAAAGAGUAAUGAAACAAUUCAUAUAAGUAACAAAAAGUAAAGAUUAAAUCUUGUACCUUUUGCAUCAUGAUUUAGCUAGUACACUUAAGCAAAGAGAACUUUAGUUUAAAACCCCGAAACCAGGUGAGCUACCCCGAGACAGCCGUCAAGGGCCAACCCGUCUCUGUGGCAAAAGAGUGGGAAGAGCUCCGGGUAGAAGUGAAAGACCUACCGAACCUGGUGAUAGCUGGUUGCCUGAGAAAUGGAUAGGAGUUCAGCCUCGCACACCUCCCACCAAUUUAAAUCAAUAUGAAUAAAGUAUAAGAGAAAUAUGCGAGAGUUAAUUAAAGGAGGUACAGCCCCUUUGAUAAAGGAAACAACCUUUUCAGGAGGAUAAAGAUCAUAAUACGUAAAACAUAAUGUUCUAGUGGGCCUAAAAGCAGCCACCUAAACAGAAAGCGUCAAAGCUCAGACAUAAUGAAAUUUAUAAUUCCAAUAAUCUAGUCUUAUUCCCCUAAAAAUAUCAAGCCAACCCAUGCCAACAUGGAAGAGAUAAUGCUAAAAUGAGUAACAAGAAGAACUAUUCUUCUCCUGACACAAGUGUAAGCCAAAUCGGACCAACCAUUGGCAAUCAACGGACUCAACUCAAGAGAGCAUUAUGGAUCACAAAAAAAUCAAGAAAAGUCCAUAACAAGAUACCGUUAACCCCACACUGGAAUGUACUCAAGGGAAAGACUAAAAGAAGAGAAAGGAACUCGGCAAACAUAAGCCUCGCCUGUUUACCAAAAACAUCGCCUCUUGCAACACAGCCAGGUAUAAGAGGUCCAGCCUGCCCAGUGAUUAUAAAUUCAACGGCCGCGGUAUUUUGACCGUGCAAAGGUAGCGCAAUCACUUGUCUUUUAAAUGAAGACCUGUAUGAACGGCUAAACGAGGGCUUAACUGUCUCCCCCUUCAAGUCAGUGAAAUUAACCUGCCCGUGCAGAGGCGGACAUAACCAUACAAGACGAGAAGACCCUUUGGAGCUUAAGGUACAAAAAUUAACCACGUCUAACAACCCAAUAAAACGCAUAAAACUCCAUGGAAUUAAAAUUUUACCUUCGGUUGGGGCGACCACGGAGUAAAGUAAAACCUCCGAGUGGACCGGGAAAACCCUAGAGUCAAGAAAGACAUCUCUAAGCCACAGAACAUCUGACCAAUAGUGAUCCGGGCUAUAUGGCACCGAUCAACGAACCAAGUUACCCCAGGGAUAACAGCGCAAUCCUCUCCAAGAGCCCAUAUCGACGAGAGGGUUUACGACCUCGAUGUUGGAUCAGGACAUCCUAAUGGUGCAGCCGCUAUUAAGGGUUCGUUUGUUCAACGAUUAAAGUCCUACGUGAUCUGAGUUCAGACCGGAGCAAUCCAGGUCAGUUUCUAUCUGUACAGCUACUUUUCCUAGUACGAAAGGACCGGAAGAGUGGGGCCCAUACUAUAAGCACGCCCCACCCCGAACUUAUGAAGACAAAUAAAUAAAAUAAAGAGAGAGCAAAAUCUCCAAACGCCAAGAUAAGGCCAU